AGAGUUUGAUCAUGGCUCAGAUUGAACGCUGGCGGCAGGCCUAACACAUGCAAGUCGAGCGGUAGCACAGAGAGCUUGCUCUCGGGUGACGAGCGGCGGACGGGUGAGUAAUGUCUGGGAAACUGCCUGAUGGAGGGGGAUAACUACUGGAAACGGUAGCUAAUACCGCAUAAUGUCGCAAGACCAAAGUGGGGGACCUUCGGGCCUCAUGCCAUCAGAUGUGCCCAGAUGGGAUUAGCUAGUAGGUGGGGUAACGGCUCACCUAGGCGACGAUCCCUAGCUGGUCUGAGAGGAUGACCAGCCACACUGGAACUGAGACACGGUCCAGACUCCUACGGGAGGCAGCAGUGGGGAAUAUUGCACAAUGGGCGCAAGCCUGAUGCAGCCAUGCCGCGUGUGUGAAGAAGGCCUUCGGGUUGUAAAGCACUUUCAGCGGGGAGGAAGGCGGUGAGGUUAAUAACCUCAUCGAUUGACGUUACCCGCAGAAGAAGCACCGGCUAACUCCGUGCCAGCAGCCGCGGUAAUACGGAGGGUGCAAGCGUUAAUCGGAAUUACUGGGCGUAAAGCGCACGCAGGCGGUCUGUCAAGUCGGAUGUGAAAUCCCCGGGCUCAACCUGGGAACUGCAUUCGAAACUGGCAGGCUAGAGUCUUGUAGAGGGGGGUAGAAUUCCAGGUGUAGCGGUGAAAUGCGUAGAGAUCUGGAGGAAUACCGGUGGCGAAGGCGGCCCCCUGGACAAAGACUGACGCUCAGGUGCGAAAGCGUGGGGAGCAAACAGGAUUAGAUACCCUGGUAGUCCACGCCGUAAACGAUGUCGAUUUGGAGGUUGUGCCCUUGAGGCGUGGCUUCCGGAGCUAACGCGUUAAAUCGACCGCCUGGGGAGUACGGCCGCAAGGUUAAAACUCAAAUGAAUUGACGGGGGCCCGCACAAGCGGUGGAGCAUGUGGUUUAAUUCGAUGCAACGCGAAGAACCUUACCUGGUCUUGACAUCCACAGAACUUAGCAGAGAUGCAUUGGUGCCUUCGGGAACUGUGAGACAGGUGCUGCA
Molecule: ribosomal RNA, 1046 nt
Filed under: Klebsiella pneumoniae
Lineage: Bacteria; Pseudomonadati; Pseudomonadota; Gammaproteobacteria; Enterobacterales; Enterobacteriaceae
Description: bacterial SSU rRNA
Rfam family: Bacterial small subunit ribosomal RNA
Source: RNAcentral